CCUACGGGAGGCAGCAGUGGGGAAUAUUGCACAAUGGGGGAAACCCUGAUGCAGCCAUGCCGCGUGUGUGAAGAAGGCCUUCGGGUUGUAAAGCACUUUCAGUUGUGAGGAAAAGUUAGUAGUUAAUACCUGCUAGCCGUGACGUUAACAACAGAAGAAGCACCGGCUAACUCCGUGCCAGCAGCCGCGGUAAUACGGAGGGUGCGAGCGUUAAUCGGAAUUACUGGGCGUAAAGCGCACGCAGGCGGUUUGUUAAGCUAGAUGUGAAAGCCCCGGGCUCAACCUGGGAUGGUCAUUUAGAACUGGCAGACUAGAGUCUUGGAGAGGGGAGUGGAAUUCCAGGUGUAGCGGUGAAAUGCGUAGAUAUCUGGAGGAACAUCAGUGGCGAAGGGGACUCCCGGGGCAAAGACUGACGCUCAUGGGAGAAAGG
This 430-nucleotide ribosomal RNA is filed under the name uncultured bacterium. RNAcentral describes it as "bacterial SSU rRNA". It matches the Rfam family "Bacterial small subunit ribosomal RNA", at positions 338 to 760 of the family's 1533-position model. The record is from RNAcentral.